RNAcentral lists this ribosomal RNA (450 nucleotides) under bacterium Ellin5262. Its description in RNAcentral is "bacterial SSU rRNA". It matches the Rfam family "Bacterial small subunit ribosomal RNA", at positions 28 to 487 of the family's 1533-position model. Lineage: Bacteria; Bacillati; Actinomycetota; Actinomycetes; Micrococcales; Intrasporangiaceae. The record is from RNAcentral.
GACGAACGCUGGCGGCGUGCUUAACACAUGCAAGUCGAACGGUGACCUCGAGAGCUUGCUCUUGGGUGAACAGUGGCGAACGGGUGAGUAACACGUGAGUAACCUGCCCCUGACUCUGGAAUAAGCGCUGGAAACGGCGUCUAAUACCGGAUAUGACACACCCUCGCAUGGGGAGUGUGUGGAAAGUUUUUCGGUCUGGGAUGGACUCGCGGCCUAUCAGCUUGUUGGUGAGGUAAUGGCUCACCAAGGCGAUGACGGGUAGCCGGCCUGAGAGGGCGACCGGCCACACUGGGACUGAGACACGGCCCAGACUCCUACGGGAGGCAGCAGUGGGGAAUAUUGCACAAUGGGCGAAAGCCUGAUGCAGCGACGCCGCGUGAGGGAUGACGGCCUUCGGGUUGUAAACCUCUUUCAGCAGGGAAGAAGCGCAAGUGACGGUACCUGCAGAAG